Molecule: ribosomal RNA, 253 nt
Filed under: uncultured bacterium
Lineage: Bacteria
Description: partial 16S ribosomal RNA
Rfam family: Bacterial small subunit ribosomal RNA
Source: RNAcentral
CACGUAGGGGACGAGCGUUGUCCGGAUUCAUUGGGCGUAAAGCGCGCGUAGGCGGCCCGGCAAGUCGGAUGUGAAAACCUGGGGCUCAACCCCAGGCGUGCACCCGAUACUCCCGGGCUGGAGGCAGGUAGGGGAGAUCGGAAUUCCUGGUGUAGCGGUGAAAUGCGCAGAUAUCGGGAGGAAUACCUAUGGCGAAAGCAGGCUACUGGACCACCACUGACGCUGAUCUGCGAAAGCUAGGGGAGCAAACAGG